AACGAACGCUGGCGGCAUGCCUAACACAUGCAAGUCGAACGAGACCUUCGGGUCUAGUGGCGCACGGGUGCGUAACGCGUGGGAACCUGCCCUUAGGUCCGGAAUAACUCCCCGAAAGGGGUGCUAAUACCGGAUAAUGUCUUCGGACCAAAGAUUUAUCUCCUUUGGAUGGGCCCGCGUUGGAUUAGCUAGUUGGUAGGGUAAAAGCCUACCAAGGCAACGAUCCAUAGCUGGUCUGAGAGGAUGAUCAGCCACACUGGGACUGAGACACGGCCCAGACUCCUACGGGAGGCAGCAGUGGGGAAUAUUGGACAAUGGGCGAAAGCCUGAUACAGCAAUGCCGCGUGAGUGAUGAAGGCCUUAGGGUUGUAAAGCUCUUUUACCCGGGAUGAUAAUGACAGUACCGGGAGAAUAAGCUCCGGCUAACUCCGUG
RNAcentral lists this ribosomal RNA (433 nucleotides) under uncultured bacterium. RNAcentral's name for it is "partial 16S ribosomal RNA". It matches the Rfam family "Bacterial small subunit ribosomal RNA", at positions 29 to 507 of the family's 1533-position model. The record is from RNAcentral.